UUGAAUGGCCGCGAUAUUUUGAUCGUGCUAAGGUAGCAUAAUCAUUAGUUUUUUAAUUGAAAGCUAGAAUGAAGGGUUGGAUGAAAAAAUAACUUUUUAAAUUUAAUUUUAUUAGAAUUUUAUUUUUAAGUUAAAAAGCUUAAAUAUUUUUAAAAGACGAGAAGACCCUAUAGAGUUUUAUAUAUAUUUUAAAAUAUUUUUUUAGAAUUGAUAUUUUAAUUUAAAAUAUUUAUUUAAUUGGGGUGAUUGAAAAAUUAGAUUAACUUUUUUUAUAUUUUUAUAUAAAUUUAUAAAUUUAUGAUCCAUUAUUAUUGAUUAAAAGAUUAAAUUACCUUAGGGAUAACAGCGUAAUUUUAUUAGAAAGUU
RNAcentral lists this ribosomal RNA (366 nucleotides) under Aulacophora semifusca. Its description in RNAcentral is "partial 16S ribosomal RNA". The record is from RNAcentral. Lineage: Eukaryota; Metazoa; Arthropoda; Insecta; Coleoptera; Chrysomelidae.